AUAUCGGAACGUGCCCAGUCGUGGGGGAUAACGCAGCGAAAGCUGUGCUAAUACCGCAUACGAUCUCUGGAUGAAAGCGGGGGACUCGCAAGGGCCUCGCGCGAUUGGAGCGGCCGAUAUCAGAUUAGCUAGUUGGUGGGGUAAAAGCCCACCAAGGCGACGAUCUGUAGCUGGUCUGAGAGGACGACCAGCCACACUGGAAAUGAGACACGGUCCAGACUCCUACGGGAGGCAGCAG
This 238-nucleotide ribosomal RNA is filed under the name uncultured bacterium. RNAcentral describes it as "partial 16S ribosomal RNA". It matches the Rfam family "Bacterial small subunit ribosomal RNA", at positions 115 to 354 of the family's 1533-position model. The record is from RNAcentral.